Unclassified non-coding RNA from Macaca fascicularis (crab-eating macaque), 149 nucleotides. It matches the Rfam family "Metazoan signal recognition particle RNA". From Rfam's summary of the family: The signal recognition particle (SRP) is a universally conserved ribonucleoprotein. It is involved in the co-translational targeting of proteins to membranes. The record is from Ensembl. NCBI's taxonomy places the organism in Eukaryota, Metazoa, Chordata, Mammalia, Primates, Cercopithecidae.
AGGUGUGGUGGCACACGCCUGUAGUCCCAGUUACUCGGGAGGUGAGGCAGGGGGCUCACUUGAGCCCAGGAGUUUUAGGCUGCAGUGAGCCGUGGUCUAAUCAUGCUACUGCACUUCAGCCUGGGCAACAGAGUGAGACCCUGUCUCUA